GGAUGUGAGGGCGAUCGGACUCUGUCACCCUAUGGAUAGCCAGAGCUGAUUCGGCUAAUCUGGCUGGCCAGGCGGGUGUCCCCUUCCUCCCUCACUGCUCCAUGUGUGUUCCUCCUUCAGCUGUGUGCUCAGUUGAAGAUGACUAUCUCCAUUAGUGGAGGACAGUUCUUCAGUCAAGGGCAUAUGAGUAGCUAUGCUCUCCUGCUAAAGCCUCCAAACCAGCUCUCAAAAAUGAAAUAGUAAAGUUUUGUGCAUAGACUGCACUCUGGGAGAGUCUCCAGGGUGGUUCACUUUUGCCAUUACUGGUAGAGCAGGGAGGAGGACUUGUAAAUUCAAGACCUGCUUUUA
RNAcentral lists this small nuclear RNA (348 nucleotides) under Carlito syrichta (Philippine tarsier). Its description in RNAcentral is "7SK RNA (ENSTSYG00000019836.2)". It matches the Rfam family "7SK RNA", at positions 1 to 296 of the family's 331-position model. Rfam says of the family: 7SK was discovered as an abundant small nuclear RNA in the mid-70s but a possible function has only recently been suggested. The record is from RNAcentral. Lineage: Eukaryota; Metazoa; Chordata; Mammalia; Primates; Tarsiidae.